UCACUAUGGCAGCUGAUAUACUAAAAUUGGAAAAAUACAGAGAUUAGCAUGGCCCCUGCACAAGGAUGACAUGCAAAUUCAUGAUGCAUUCCAUAUUUUU
RNAcentral lists this small nuclear RNA (100 nucleotides) under Dasypus novemcinctus (nine-banded armadillo). The record is from RNAcentral. Lineage: Eukaryota; Metazoa; Chordata; Mammalia; Cingulata; Dasypodidae.